GACGAACGCUGGCGGCGCGCCUAACACAUGCAAGUCGAACGGAGUCAAGAUGAGCUUGCUUUUUUUGACUUAGUGGCGAACGGGUGAGUAACGCGUGUGUCACCUGCCCUGCUGUGGGGGACAAUAGUUGGAAUCGUCUUCUAAUACCGCAUAAGCUCACGCAUCCUCAUGGAUCUUCGGGAAUUUGGUUUAUUCGCUUCAGGAUGGACUCUUGUCCAAUUAGUUAGUUGGUGAGGUAACGGCCCACCAAGGCGAGGUUUCGUAGCCGUGAUGAGUGGUUGAAAGGCCAGAAUGGGACUGAGACACAGACCAGACUGCUACGGGAGGCAGGAGUAGAGGAUAUUGCACAAUGGAGGAAAACCUGAUGAAGCGACGCCGCGGGGAGGAAGAAGGUGUUCGGAAAGUAAACUCCUGUCGGAAGAGACGAGAAUGACGGUACCUAAUAAGAAAGCACCGGCUAACUACGUG
Molecule: ribosomal RNA, 468 nt
Filed under: uncultured bacterium
Lineage: Bacteria
Description: partial 16S ribosomal RNA
Rfam family: Bacterial small subunit ribosomal RNA
Source: RNAcentral